CCUACGGGGGGCUGCAGUCGAGAAUCUUCGGCAAUGAGCGCAAGCUUGACCGAGCGAUGCCGCGUGCGGGAUGAAGGCCCUCGGGUUGUAAACCGCUGUCGUAGGGGAGUACAAUCCUAGGAGGAAGGACGGGCUAAGUUCGUGCCAGCAGCCGCGGUAAGACGAACCGUCCAAACGUUAUUCGGAAUCACUGGGCUUACAGAGUUCGUAGGCGGUCUGGAAAGUUGGGUGUGAAAUCCCUCGGCUCAACCGAGGAACUGCGCUCAAAACUACCCGACUCGAGGGAGAUAGAGGAAAGCGGAACUGAUGGUGGAGCGGUGAAAUGCGUUGAUAUCAUCAGGAACACCGGUGGCGAAGGCGGCUUUCUGGGUCUUCCUGACGCUGAGGAACGAAAGCUAGGGGAGCGAACGGGAUUAGAUACCCUUGUAGUC
This 431-nucleotide ribosomal RNA is filed under the name uncultured bacterium. RNAcentral's name for it is "partial 16S ribosomal RNA". It matches the Rfam family "Bacterial small subunit ribosomal RNA", at positions 338 to 795 of the family's 1533-position model. The record is from RNAcentral.